Molecule: ribosomal RNA, 253 nt
Filed under: uncultured Lachnospiraceae bacterium
Lineage: Bacteria; Bacillati; Bacillota; Clostridia; Lachnospirales; Lachnospiraceae
Description: partial 16S ribosomal RNA
Rfam family: Bacterial small subunit ribosomal RNA
Source: RNAcentral
UACGUAGGGGGCGAGCGUUAUCCGGAUUUACUGGGUGUAAAGGGAGCGUAGACGGCGUCGCAAGUCUGAAGUGAAAGCCCGUGGCUCAACCGCGGAACCGCUUUGGAAACUGCGUGGCUGGAGUGCUGGAGAGGCAGGCGGAAUUCCUAGUGUAGCGGUGAAAUGCGUAGAUAUUAGGAGGAACACCAGUGGCGAAGGCGGCCUGCUGGACUGUAACUGACGUUGAGGCUCGAAAGCGUGGGGAGCAAACAGG